AACACAUGCAAGUCGAGCGGAGGAUUCGAGAUGUUUACAUCAAAGGAUCUUUAGCGGCGGACGGGUGAGUAACACGUGGGUAACCUGCCUCAGAGUGGGGGAUAGCCUUUCGAAAGGAAGAUUAAUACCGCAUAAGAUUGCACUGCCACAUGGCAGAGCAAGAAAAGGACGCAAGUCCGCUUUGAGAUGGACCCGCGGCGCAUUAGCUAGUUGGUGAGGUAACGGCUCACCAAGGCCACGAUGCGUAGCCGACCUGAGAGGGUGAUCGGCCACAUUGGAACUGAGACACGGUCCAGACUCCUACGGGAGGCAGCAGUGGGGAAUAUUGCACAAUGGGCGAAAGCCUGAUGCACAACGCCGCGUGAGUGAUGAAGGCUUCGGGUCGUAAAGCUCUUU
This 396-nucleotide ribosomal RNA is filed under the name uncultured bacterium. RNAcentral's name for it is "bacterial SSU rRNA". It matches the Rfam family "Bacterial small subunit ribosomal RNA", at positions 50 to 436 of the family's 1533-position model. The record is from RNAcentral.